GAUGCAGGUUGGGUUCUAGAUAAUAUGGCUGUAGAUGCAGGUUGGGUUCUAGAUAAUAAGGCUGUAGAUGCAGGUUGGGUUCUAGAUAAUAAGGCUGUAGAUGCAGGUUGGGUUCUAGAUAAUAUGGCUGUAGAUGCAGGUUGGGUUCUAGAUAAUAUGGCUGUAGAUGCAGGUUGGGUUCUAGAUAAUAUCGCUGUAGAUGCAGGCUGGGUUCUAGAUAAUAUGGCUGUACAUGCAGGUUGGGUUUCUAGAUAAUAUGGCUGUAGAUGCAGGAUGGGUUCGAGAUAAACUGAAUGCAAACCCAGAUCAUGUUCUAGAUAACCAGACCGUAUGUGCAGGCUGUGUUCCCGAUAUAAAAAAAACUGUAAAUGCAGGCUGUUCUAUAUAAAUCAAAGUUUUUACAGACAUUUCACAGAGGUACACACACACAGCUUGCAGAUACACACUACAUACCAACACUCACACUUAUACAGACAUAUACUGGAAGAGAAUGAAGUUCAAUUGGCAGAGUGUAUCUUACCUACGUGAAUUAGAUUAGCAAAACAUACACACACACACACACACUCACACACACACAAACACACACACAAACACGCAUGCAAGCAUCCCAUGGAAGAAUGGCAAUCUGAGCUGGUAGACCACGAAUGGCUGCCAUGCAGUAUUAAAGUUUAAUUGCUACGAUACCAGGCAUGUCUCCAUGGCAACAAAGCUUCCUCUACAGUUCUGCUCCAAGUGUAUGAUGGACUGACUGACUAAUGCAGCUCAGAAACGCAUCAUCAAAACAGCUUUCCUCAAAACGCAGUUAAGAACGGUUCUAGACUGUAUCUGCGUCUACAUGCAGGCUGUGC
Ictalurus punctatus (channel catfish) is the source of this 848-nucleotide long non-coding RNA. The record is from Ensembl. NCBI's taxonomy places the organism in Eukaryota, Metazoa, Chordata, Actinopteri, Siluriformes, Ictaluridae.